UUCCAAUCAUUAGACCCCAGCACCCCGCCUGGGGAAAAGCA
Molecule: transfer RNA, 41 nt
Filed under: Paleosuchus palpebrosus (Cuvier's dwarf caiman)
Lineage: Eukaryota; Metazoa; Chordata; Crocodylia; Alligatoridae
Description: partial tRNA-Gly
Source: RNAcentral